AAUAUUAGUCAAUGGCCUAACGGCUGAACUGGCAACUUGGAGAAGUGGCAAGUCUUCCAGUAUGGGGAGCAAAACAGCUAUGGGUCAAGUCCGAUAUCUUUAGGAGAAGUCUUAUUGUGAGGGCGAGUUAUAUAACACCAUAGGACUGGCCGUCCCAUAUGAAAAGAUUAUAUUAGAAUUGAAUGAAGCUUUGUUUAUAUAUUGAUAAUGACAGUAUAUAUAUCGUGUCUUGACUAAUUGCGUGCCAGCAGUCGCGGUAAUACGUAAGAGACUAGUGUUAUUCAUCUUAAUUAGGUUUAAAGGGUACCCAGACGGUCAAUAUAGCUUAUAAAAUGUUAGUACUUGACUAGAGUUUUAUGUAAGAGGGCAGUACUUGAGGAGGAGAGAUGAAAUUUCGUGAUACCAAAGGGACUCUGUAAAGGCGAAGGCAGCCCUCUAUGUAAAAACUGACGUUGAAGGACGAAGGCACAGAGAACAAACAGGAUUAGAUACCCAAGUAGUCUUUGCAGUAAAUGAUGAAUGCCAUAGGUUAGAUUGAUCAAUUAUAGUCUAGGGUUAGUCUAGCAAACUAAUGCCCUAUGAUAUAAUUCAAAAUAUCUGGUCUAUAAAUGAAAGUGUAAGCAUUUCACCUCAAGAGUAAUGUGGCAACGCAGGAACUGAAAUCACUAGACCGUUUCUGACACCAGUAGUGAAGUAUGUUAUUUAAUUC
This 709-nucleotide ribosomal RNA is filed under the name Fusarium oxysporum f. sp. niveum. RNAcentral's name for it is "SSU rRNA". It matches the Rfam family "Bacterial small subunit ribosomal RNA", at positions 360 to 952 of the family's 1533-position model. The record is from RNAcentral. Lineage: Eukaryota; Fungi; Ascomycota; Sordariomycetes; Hypocreales; Nectriaceae.